AACGCAUAUUGCGCCCCUUGUUACAGAGGGGCAUGCCUGUCUGAGUGUCUUUUAAACCAUAGGCUUCGGUCUGUUUUGGGCCUCGCGCCUCUGCGUGGCCUCAAAGUCAUUGCUGUCGAGCGGACGGGAUCCAUUAGGAUGGCGCCGCCUCGACUCUUGCGACACUCUCUGACGGACCUCAGAUCAGGUAGGACGACCGCCUGAACUUAA
RNAcentral lists this unclassified non-coding RNA (210 nucleotides) under uncultured fungus. RNAcentral's name for it is "sequence contains ITS2". Lineage: Eukaryota; Fungi. The record is from RNAcentral.